UACGAAGGGGGCUAGCGUUGUUCGGAAUUACUGGGCGUAAAGCGCACGCAGGCGGUGGUCAUAGUCAGAAGUGAAAGCCCUGGGCUCAACCCGGGAAUUGCUUUUGAUACUGGACCGCUAGAAUCACGGAGAGGGUAGUGGAAUUCCGAGUGUAGAGGUGAAAUUCGUAGAUAUUCGGAAGAACACCAGUGGCGAAGGCGACUACCUGGCCGUCGAUUGACGCUCAUGUGCGAAAGCGUGGGGA
This 244-nucleotide ribosomal RNA is filed under the name uncultured bacterium. Its description in RNAcentral is "partial 16S ribosomal RNA". It matches the Rfam family "Bacterial small subunit ribosomal RNA", at positions 524 to 767 of the family's 1533-position model. The record is from RNAcentral.